UCCUCGGUAGGAUAGUGGUGAGUAUCCCCGCCUGUCACGCGGGAGACCGUGGUUCGAUUCCCCGUCGGGGAG
Molecule: transfer RNA, 72 nt
Filed under: Paramuricea clavata
Lineage: Eukaryota; Metazoa; Cnidaria; Anthozoa; Malacalcyonacea; Plexauridae
Rfam family: tRNA
About the family: Transfer RNA (tRNA) molecules are approximately 80 nucleotides in length. Their secondary structure includes four short double-helical elements and three loops (D, anti-codon, and T loops). Further hydrogen bonds mediate the characteristic L-shaped molecular structure. tRNAs have two regions of fundamental functional importance: the anti-codon, which is responsible for specific mRNA codon recognition, and the 3' end, to which the tRNAs corresponding amino acid is attached (by aminoacyl-tRNA synthetases). tRNAs cope with the degeneracy of the genetic code in two manners: having more than one tRNA (with a specific anti-codon) for a particular amino acid; and 'wobble' base-pairing, i.e. permitting non-standard base-pairing at the 3rd anti-codon position.
Source: Rfam by way of RNAcentral